GGUAUAGCACUUCGGUGCUAGAGACCGGCGCACGGGUGCGUAACGCGUAUGCAAUCUACCUUUUACAGGGGGAUAGCCCAGAGAAAUUUGGAUUAAUACCCCAUAGUAUAUAUGAAUGGCAUCAUUUAUAUAUUAAAGUCACAACGGUAAAAGAUGAGCAUGCGUCCCAUUAGCUAGAUGGUAAGGUAACGGCUUACCAUGGCAACGAUGGGUAGGGGUCCUGAGAGGGAGAUCCCCCACACUGGUACUGAGACACGGACCAGACUCCUACGGGAGGCAGCAGUGAGGAAUAUUGGACAAUGGGCGCAAGCCUGAUCCAGCCAUGCCGCGUGCAGGAUGACGGUCCUAUGGAUUGUAAACUGCUUUUAUACGAGAAGAAACACUCCUUCGUGAAGGAAUUUGACGGUAUCGUAAGAAUAAGGAUCGGCUAACUCCGUGCCAGCAGCCGCGGUAAUACGGAGGAUCCAAGCGUUAUCCGGAAUCAUUGGGUUUAAAGGGUCCGUAGGCGGUCUAGUAAGUCAGUGGUGAAAGCCCAUCGCUCAACGGUGGAACGGCCAUUGAUACUGCUGGACUUGAAUUAUUAGGAAGUAACUAGAAUAUGUAGUGUAGCGGUGAAAUGCUUAGAGAUUACAUGGAAUACCAAUUGCGAAGGCAGGUUACUACUAAUGGAUUGACGCUGAUGGACGAAAGCGUGGGUAGCGAACAGGAUUAGAUACCCUGGUAGUCCACGCCGUAAACGAUGGAUACUAGCU
This 752-nucleotide ribosomal RNA is filed under the name uncultured Bacteroidota bacterium. Its description in RNAcentral is "bacterial SSU rRNA". It matches the Rfam family "Bacterial small subunit ribosomal RNA", at positions 66 to 821 of the family's 1533-position model. The record is from RNAcentral. Lineage: Bacteria; Pseudomonadati; Bacteroidota.